CUCCCAAAGUGCUGGGAUUACAGGCGUGAGCCACCGCGCCCAGCCAGGAUUUUUUUUUCAAAGUGCAGUAGCAGGAAGGCUUAUUUUGAAUGACCAGGGUUUAGAUGUAUAUGUGCGUGUGUGUAAUUUUUGGUGGAUAUAGUGAAUGAUGCAACCAUUUAUGUUUCUCUCUUUGCAGUGGCUUUUAGGGAACUCACUGGUAAAUUUUGUGGCCUGCUUAUAUUAAAGGAUGUAAACAUUGUAUGUCCUUUCUUUUGAGUGACAGUCAUACCACUGAUUAUACUUUUUUUUGGACACAUUUUAUUCAGAUAGCAGUUUGAUCACACAUGAUCCAAGAACACUCAAAUAGUAAAUAAAAUAUAAUCAGAUGUUAAAGACUUGUUGUCAAACGUUAUAGGCAAUGAGGCAAUGCUUACUUAUGAUUGCUCCAAUAUAAAACCACAUUUACACCUCAGUGGCCACUGAACCAUUCAGCACAGCUUCCUUAACUGUCAGCUGUUAGAAGCUAGCAGUGUGAGCACUGUUGACUAUUUUUUUUCAGGCUCUGAAUAGCUGUCAGGAUCUCAGUAGGAGUUGGAGGAGUUAGCUCAACUUUGGCUUAGUAUCUAAAUGCGGCCAAUGUAGGCUUCAAAUAAGUCACAGCAGUGUUCACUAGUGUUGGAGCCUCCUCCUCCAGGUUUCAGACAAAUCGGACUAUGAUUUUAGGAUGAAAAAUCCAUGGCCCCAAAUGGCUAGCUAAUUAUACUUUUAAAAUUCCUCUUAUCUUUAUUGCUACCUUCAUCUCUUUCCUAUUUCCAUUUCUUUACUGUUUUACUUUCUGUACUUUCUGUACUUUGUAAGUCAUCUCAGAAUUUUUUGAAUUUAAAAUUUUUUUAAAUUUUUCAUAUGGCAUGAAAAAAUUACUUGUAGACAUCUAUAACAUAAUGGAUCUCUUAUUGGUAAUUUUUUUGGGAACUGACUUGGUACUAAUUGGUACUAACUUUGAUUUCUCUCACUGGAUUCCUAGACUCUCCAGGAUGUUAGGACAGGCUGUGGCCUGUGGAACACCUCGUCUUGUACAUUCUGUUUUCUGAAUAAAGGGUCUUCUUUGUUUUCCCUGCAACGAGUGGUCUUUUGUUCCUCAUUUCUGUGGUCCAUUACCCAUUCUCCCAACCCAAUGGCAUGUCAAAACUAUUUAAAAUUUUAAAAAACUAUUAAUAUAAUUGCCUUUUAAUAAAACUAUUUAUAAUAAUAAUUAUAAUUGCUUAUUUAAAAACUAUUAAUAUAAUUGCUUAUUAAUAAAACUAUUAAUAUUACUCUGAUUUAAUAAACUGAGGUAAACUAUAUAAUAAAAGUUAUUGUCCUCUUUUUCAUAUUAUGUUUUGUAAUUUGAAGAAUCAUUUAAAGCUUUAGAUUUAUUCUAGAAAAGUCUAUAAUUGAAUCAUACCAUGAUAAGCUAAAUCUGAAAAUGUAAGAAAGUUUCUAUGGGAUAGAUGUAUGAUGAUUUUAGGCUUUUCUUCAAGUCUGGAUUUUGUUUCCACUGCUAUUUUAAUGAGUUAGGAAAUAUGAGAUAUUUAAAUAUGAUGAGGUGAAGUUCAUUGAACACUUUAAUGUUGGUUAUAUUAUUUAUAUCCUCUAUAUAGUUUAAAAAACAACUAGCAUAUUUUAUAGAUAUAUUUGCAAGACUGAUUUUAAAAUAAUAUGUUUUCAUUGUUUUGUUAACAAAUCAAACUUUUCAAGCUAUUUCUGACUGUUAAACCUUUCUGGAAAGUUGUUCCAUAUCCUUCCGGUCAUCUAAAUUUAUCACAAGGUUUUAACUAAGAAGGUUGGUGAACCCUCUUUCCUUUUGAUCUUGCAUCCUGGCGAGUGCUUGAAUAUUUCUUGUGUAAGAAAAGUUUUGGUAGAUGAGUCAGUGCACUGAGUCAUAGGCAGCAUGAAGCCUCUAGUGUUCUAUACUAACUAAUUGGAAACAGUUUCAAAAUUAAUUAAGGCACAGUUGUCAGCUCAGUGUUACUGAUUGACAUCCCACCAAAGUAUUUUGUCUUUUGGCAACUUGGUUAAUUGUUCUUUGGUAUUUAGAUUUUUGUUUUGCUUUAUAGAUUUUUAAAAAUCUGUUGAAUAGACCUAUAGUUACCAUGUUGAUUUUUAUUUUUUAGAAUCCUGUUAUGAACCCUGUGUCAUUGUGAUUAAUUUCUUCCUUACUUGAUGCCUUUUUUUCUCUUAAAAAUAUUCAAUACAAUAUCUUUUCUUUUUAUCUUGCUAAUUUAUCAGUCUAUGAGAAAGUCUGUUAUGCUCCACACAAACCAGUUCAUAAGUAAAAGCAUAUUGAUUUGUUCAAUAAUAGCCCAGUAUCCAAUUAAACAUUAUGUUUUACUUAAUAAAAAACAAAUUAAGUGGCUUGCUUACAUUCCUUUACAUUGCAUUAAUUUGACCUUAAUAAAUUCAUUAAAAAUGAUGUUUUUAAAAGUCUCUUCCUUUAUUAGGUUCAUAUUUAUUUAAAAUAAAGUAUUCGAAAGAAAGUAUUUCAUUUAUAUAAAGAAUUUUGCAAGGAGGGAUUGAUUAGGUGUUCUUCAUGUUUAUGGAAGAAUAAACAAAAGGAAAUCAAGACCAGGAAGGUAUUUUGGCUGAAGAGAGCAAGUAUGUGCUGGCACAAUGAUAAAAUGCUAGAAUGGAUUACUGAAUAAAAUAAGAAAAGAAGAGAACUCACAUAUUAAAGACCUGAUAGGUCUCAGGCACUUUACAUAUAUUAUUUCUCUAAAUCCUCCCAGCAUCUAUGAGAUGGAAAUUAUUUACCUAUAAUCAAAUGUGGAUCUUGAAGCCUUAACAAUAUCUGUAUAAUAAACACCUAAGGCAAUCUACAACAGCAUUUUAGUGUGCUGUCUAGUGCCAGAUUCAGGCAUUAUGCUAAAGGAAAAUUCAGGAAAAGCAUUUGAUCUAGUUACAAAGUAGACAAUCUUUAGGGCAAUAAGUGGAUUACACAUCCUUCAGUCAUUCCUCUGAAACAUUUCUUUUAAAGUUAUUGAUUGAAAUUGAGACACAUUUUAUAAUUGAUGACAUGCUAUAAUUUAAUUGGCAGUAUCUUUUCUUCAUGAUAUGUAAAAUUAAUGCUGCAUCGCAUAAUCAGUAUCAUCUUAGAUUUGAUAGAGUACAGUAGAUGGUCGGUCUUUGAUGGAAUACCAUAUAUGAUCUUUAUCACUCAUUAGAAAACUUUAAGAACAAUGGUAACCUAUUGGUUUUUUGUUCAUUAUCCCUGAGUUCUGAUGAGAUGAUCUUUGAAAAAUUCUGUGGUCAAAUGUGUUUUAAAAAUACAGCAUAAUCUAUUCUUCUCCUGGAGAUUUUCAGUGCAAAAUAACAUAUAAGAAUUCUAGUAAAACAAACGAACAAACAAACAAACAAAAAAACAACAUUUUUACCUUUGUUUAACCCAUUGUACAAACUUAUUUGAUCAUAUAUUUCCUCCACCCUGACAAACUCUUUUUUACUUACCUAGUUUUCAAAGGACAUUAUGCAUGUGCCUGAGGAGUUUAAUGCUUUAUCUAACUUUGGGAAAUGCUGGGUUACUUGGUCUUUUACCUAAAAUUGAGUAUUACCAGUUAGAGUCUAAAUCUUUCUGAGGGUCCACACAGUUUUCUCUCCAGUCUUCUUAUCCAACCUCAUUUUAUUUAUGUAUAUUUUGCUCAUAGGUUGGCCAGACCCGCAUUACCAAUUUCUUAUUUUUUGUUUCAACUUUUACUUCUUGAGUCAUAUCUUGGUAUAUAGUUUUUCAUUUACUAAUAAAUUGUGAUAUUUGAAAUUUAUUAACUGGAUGUUUAGAGUUUCAUUAAAGAUUCUAAAUAGAGAAUUAAUGGUCAUGUAUAAAUUGGAAAGGAAAAAAAAUCAAUUUUUCUGACAUUUUAUGAUACCUAAAAGUCAGUAGGUUAUGGUAGCCUUAUUUCCACGUUACGCUGAUUGCUUCACAGGUACAACAUUUUUCUUCUACAAAGAUUCUCUGAAGAGUGAAUCUCCCUUUCCUGCUAUUUUUCUUGUUUCUUUCUUCACUCCCUGGCCGUCACAUCUUCCUUCCCCACUUCCCUCUACCUUCUCUCAAAAAUCUGGACUCAACUUAUUUACUGAUUCGAUGUUCUUUCAGCAUUAUUUAAUUCUUUAAUAUUGGGUCAUGCUUAUUUCCAAUUAUAUUUUCCAUUUUUAUAAUUUUGCUUCUCUAGCCCUACUUUUAGCACUUGACAAGCGAACUUGUCUAAGUCUUUGGCUUUUUAUACCUAAGCUAAAUGAGCUACUAUUUACCAAUCUCCCUGAUUGUCACAGUAGUUUAUCACAUUUAAGUCACCAAGGGAUUGAGAUAAGCUGAUUUUAUUUCAACUUUUUCAAAAUUCUUCCUUACCUAUGGUAUUCGUAGUCAUGGUCUAUGCUUGUGGUGGUCAGUCCUGUCAAGUAGUAUUCUUAAGUUUGUUUUGUUCCUAUCACUGUGCUAACCAUCUUAGACUUUAUAUAUUCUGUGUUUUUAAACACUCUGAUCUCAGUGAGGAAAAAUCCAUUAAUUUGUAACUUAUUGCAUUCAUAGCAUAAUAAUACUGCAUUAAAAGGAUGGGAAAUGAGAAUAGAAAUGUGGAUUGGUACCACAUUGUGUAGCAGUUUGACUGCCAGACUAAGACACUGCUAGGCUAAGGCAGCUUUUCAGAAAGGGAAUAAUACACUUUAUUUUUCUUGUUCUGCCAUGUAGUUAGCCUAAACACUUGAAUUAUUUCAAGUAGGAGCUUGGUACUUUAUCAUCACGUCUUCUGGACUUCAAUUAAUUUUUUUUUUUUUUUUUUUUUUAACCAUUUCUACUUUGAAGAACCUAUGUAAUAGGAUUUUUCUGAUAGUUAGAUUAGAAGUUGUUCAUAAAGUGUUUAACAAACAGUACUUGGUACAGACAGAGAUGAUAAUAUAAUGACAAAAAUAUUGGAUUAUGGAUGUAGCUGAAGUGUAUGUGUGUUUGUGUGGCAGGGGUGAGUGGUGGGUGUUGAACUACCAAAUCUGCUCUCAUCUAGCCAAACUGCCAUGUAUCAGAUGUACUACACCAGGGCCAUUCUUGCAGUUUACAUUUUUUAGACUGGAAAUCAAGAGACCUGGGUUCUUACACCAACUCUCUGUUACUUUGCAGAUUACCUUUCCUUCUAGGCCAUGGUGCCUUCAUAGAUAAAAUAAUGAAUUUGGAUUAGGUAAUUAUUAGAUUUAAAAUAUAUGAUUCUUUAGGGAUAGGCAACGAGUGGCUGAAGAUCCAUUAAGGAGAACAUGUAAGUAGGAUCAUCUCUUUUAUCUCAUUGCACUGUUUCUGAUGGAUUACCCAAAACCAAACUGGCAUAUGACUUCGGAAUUCAUUUGCUUCCCAUAGAAAAAUUAUUUUCAAUACAAAAAGGCCUAUGUAGAAAAGCACUAUAACAAAACAGUACUUAAAUUUUAUUUAAAAUAUAUUUGCAUUUCUCAAAUUGAGAGUCAAUAAAGAAAAUUCCAAGGCAAGAAAGCAUCUUUGAGAUGCUUUGCAAUUAGAAACACUCAAGGAGACAACUGAAGAAUUUAGAAAAAUAAAUUGAAUAAUAUUUGAUAAAUUUAGACUCUCAGCAAACCCAGGACCCAAUGUAGCUUCUUUGAAUUUCGAAUAUAGAAACUAUAGGCCUGCCAUUACUCAGGGUACAUCUCUUGGGCAGGCAGUCCUAAACUCCUGGUCAGAUUAGGUUUGAAAUGUUUAAUCAGUUCUUAUCCACUGCGCCCCAGCCCUCCAAUCUCCUGCAAUGCUGUUUUGUGUCUUAUUGUCAACAGAGUGGGGCUAGAAGAUUUCCAAGAUAACUUUCAAUUUAUUAGUUAUACUGCAUUAGUAUAGUAUUGAUAUUUUUUCGUUUGGCUUUUGUGUUUCAUUGGUUCUUUUGUUUUCUCUUUUCUGUUGCGUAUUUUCUAUAUUCUUUCUUCUUGUUACUGUCUACUUAGGCCAUGAAAUUGAGAUGGAUUUGUGUGAGAGAUAUUGAGGGAACAAAGGAAUUGGACUGAUGAAGCUUUGCUAACACCUCUUCCUCAAACACACAAGCUAACUUUAUUAUUUUGAAUAUGGAGAGGGAGGAAACGAGAAGACAAAAGGAGAAAAGGAUCAGGAUUGAAAAUACAAGGAAACGAGAAUUAAGAAAGCAGGUUAAAGGUUUCUGGAGUGCUCUGUUUGAAAUAAUGGCCUGUGGACCCUCUUAGCAGAGAUGAGAGACAGAGGGUAGGGAGACCAUAUUGCAUAUAGGAUCUGCAGGUUUGUGUGAAGGCCAAGGAGGAAAGGGCAAUGCAGGGAAGAGGACAAGAGGUUAGGUCUUGGAUAAAGACUGUGUGAGUUCAAAUUCUGGCUUUUUUGUGUGCCUCAAUUUCUUUAAGUAUAAUGAGGAUAAUAACUCCCAUAGGACUGUGUUAAUGAGAUUAUGUAUUUGAUAAUGAUCUUAAGACAAUGCUUCAUUCUUAGUAAGCAUUAAAUAAACGGUAGCUAGUAUUAACAGUUAUUUUUUUAAAGGGUUUUUACUAAGAACCUUUUAAGGAUUAAAUCAGGAAGCAGGCUGUCCCUGUAAGAUCACUUAUAUGCCAUUUGAGCGUAAGUACAGUAAUUAAUAGCACGAUCUUCAUUUUAUGUGGUAAAUGUGACUUAGCAGAAACUAAUACGACUGAAGUCGAAGACUGAAUAAAUGUAAAUUUAUUCUUUAAGAUUAAUAUUUUGCUUAUUACAUAUAUAUUUUGUAUGUUCCCAUGUGUGUCUAAUGUGUUGUUAUUCUUUAUACUUUAGAGUCUAAAAUAUACCCUAUGAUAGGAAAUUAGAUUUGGAAGUCACCACAUAAAAAAUCUCAUUCAUCCCUUGUCCUUUACGGAAGACAUGAUCCUGAAAGGUACCCAGUUGAGGAAGAAGUAGGAAUUGAGGACCUGAAAUCCCUAUUAAGUUGUAUACAAUUGGAGACAUUUUCUAUUUUUAAAAUGACUAUAAUGGUUAGAAAUUCAUCUUUCUAUUCAUGUCAUAAAUGUAUUUCAUUUUUGAUACUUUAACAUUAGUAGAUUUCAGUGUGUUAAGAAAGUGUAUAUUUAGUUCAGAAUUCCAUAAUUGUUCCUGAUGGUAGAUAUUCAAUACAAUAGAAUCUCUGAAGCCUUUAAAAAUGACCCUUUCAAAUAGAUAAAUAUCUUUGCCCAUAAACAUUUACUUUGUAGGUGUCAUUACUUUGUAGGUGUUUUAAGUCACUUUUGUUUUUCUUCUGAAGUGUUAAAAAUUACCAGUGGCCUUAUUCCCAGGGAGAAGGGAAAGGGAAUGAGAUAACCAAACAUGUGUACAAGGUUAAUUUUUUAGGUGAUACAAACUCCAAAAAUUAUUAUUUUUAUGAGCUUUCAAAUUUUCCGUUAGACAAAUUUGUUUCAUUUCUGUUAUAAGAUUAUGUAUAUUAACUGAAAAAUUUAUAAAUGAUAGUAUAGACAAUUAUUUUAUACUUUGGUAACUUUACCAACAAAUCCAGUAGGAGAUAAUGGCCUUGAAACACAAAUAAAGGCACAGAAAAAUAUUUUUGACAGCAAAAGAUUGCAAAAACAGACACUUUAAAUUGUUUCUGAAAGCAUGGUUGUUUAAUCUGUGAUAGAUAUAAGAUAAAUGGUAUUUAACCCUUAUUCCUGAAAUCAUAAACUCUUUAUUUUUUUAUUUGUAAAAGGUCUUAUGAUUCUUACUUGCAGGCCAUGUGAUGGCUAAUACUGAGUGUCAACUUGAGUGGAUUGAAGGAUACAAAGUAUUUAUCCUGGGAGAGAUAUUCCUUCUAAGGUGAAGGAUAAGUUGCUGUAUUUGGCCUCUCCUACAUCCAAAAAAGAGGCACAAUGCCUUGUGGGCCUAUUUGCAUUUUGGAGGCAACACAUUCCUCAUUUGGGUGUGUUACUCCAGCCCAUUUAUUGAGUGACCUGAAAGGCUGCCGUUUUGAGUGGGGUCCAGAACAACAGAAGGCUCUGCAACAGGUCCAGGCUGCUGUGCAUGCUGCUUUGUCACUUGGGCAAUAUGAUCCAGCAGAUCUAAUGGUGCUUAAGAUGUCAGUGGCAGAUAGGGGUGCUGUUUGGAGGCUUUGGCGGGUCCCCCAUAGGUGAAUCACAGAGGAGGCCUCUAGGAUUUUGGAGCAAGGCCCUGACAUCUUCUGCAGAUAACUGCU
Long non-coding RNA from Cercocebus atys (sooty mangabey), 8150 nucleotides. RefSeq lists it as uncharacterized. The record is from RefSeq and is a predicted model, not a curated record. Lineage: Eukaryota; Metazoa; Chordata; Mammalia; Primates; Cercopithecidae. The transcript is spliced from 3 exons.